This 429-nucleotide ribosomal RNA is filed under the name Chloroflexota bacterium. RNAcentral describes it as "Chloroflexi bacterium partial 16S ribosomal RNA". It matches the Rfam family "Bacterial small subunit ribosomal RNA", at positions 355 to 776 of the family's 1533-position model. Lineage: Bacteria; Bacillati; Chloroflexota. The record is from RNAcentral.
UGGGGAAUAUUGCACAAUGGGCGCAAGCCUGAUGCAGCCAUGCCGCGUGUGUGAAGAAGGCCUUCGGGUUGUAAAGCACUUUCAGCGGGGAGGAAGGCGAUAAGGUUAAUAACCUCAUCGAUUGACGUUACCCGCAGAAGAAGCACCGGCUAACUCCGUGCCAGCAGCCGCGGUAAUACGGAGGGUGCAAGCGUUAAUCGGAAUUACUGGGCGUAAAGCGCACGCAGGCGGUCUGUCAAGUCGGAUGGGAAAUCCCCGGGCUCAACCUGGGAACUGCAUUCGAAACUGGCAGGCUAGAGUCUUGUAGAGGGGGGUAGAAUUCCAGGUGUAGCGGUGAAAUGCGUAGAGAUCUGGAGGAAUACCGGUGGCGAAGGCGGCCCCCUGGACAAAGACUGACGCUCAGGUGCGAAAGCGUGGGGAGCAAACAGG